AGACGUUAUUUGCAAACCAAUAUAUUUUCCGACGGAACAAGGAACAUAAUGAUUGCACGGAUGGAUACAAUUAUUCAAGUUACUGCAGUUACUACUGCAAAUCUGGAUUGCAGAGAUGGGGAGCAAAGAAAGUAGUUUGUCUUUGGACAGGAGAAUUGUCGGAAGAACCACCUACUUGAAAAAAAUAUGAUCCUAAAUGUCCUGCUGCUCACAAACAGACUUCAUGUCCUGACACAAACUGUGCAGUCAAUGCUGAUUGCAAUGACGACAAGAAGCUUUGUUGUCCUACAAAAUGUGGAACGUCUGUUUGUUGAGAUUUACCGAAACGAACAAUCUCCAGAGGUUGGAUUAUUUUCCAAAUGCAUUCUCUUGAAAGUUUCAAUUUGUGAUAAAACCAUUUCAAAAGAAAUUGCCAUUUAUGUUUUAAGGUUUAUUCUAACCUAAUUAAAAAUAAAUUUCAUAAAGGCUUACAGGCCCUGUAUCUCAUUGAACAACCUACAACAAAUAAACUGGGGCGAACAGCCUGAAACUCACCAAAUCAGACCAAAACAUCCCAAGCCGCAUCGCUGCGAACCGCGGCUUAAGCUAGCUAAACUGCAUAAGACCGAGGGGCUGUGCUCUGGCGCCAUCUGUGUUCCAAAUUGUAAAAUACAAUUUCCAACAACAAGACAAAAUAUUGAUGUUUCAUUCAAGUUAUUAUGAAAUUUAUGAGUUUUAUUGGUCACCCCGUUCAAAAUUUUAGAAUAUUUUUUUACUGAUAAUGCCUUAUUUCAAAUGACUUUAUUGAUAUAUUUCCGCAAUGGACCUUUCCCCGAGCAUCGACUUC
This is a non-coding RNA of Styela clava, 826 nucleotides long. The record is from RefSeq and is a predicted model, not a curated record. Lineage: Eukaryota; Metazoa; Chordata; Ascidiacea; Stolidobranchia; Styelidae.